RNAcentral lists this long non-coding RNA (212 nucleotides) under Mytilus galloprovincialis (Mediterranean mussel). Lineage: Eukaryota; Metazoa; Mollusca; Bivalvia; Mytilida; Mytilidae. The record is from RNAcentral.
GUGGGUUUGCGUUUCUUGCUGAUAUGGAUGGUGGUGCAUUUUUGCGGGUGGAACGCCAUUUGCCAAUCAUUUUCCCAUUUUUCUAAUUUAUCAAGGUCGUCUUGUAGCUUGGUGGAAUCGCUAGUGGAUCGAAUAGGACGAUAUAACAGGCAGUCAUCAGCAAACAAUUUCACGCUCGAGUUAACCGAUUCAGGGAGGUCAUUGAUGAAGAC